This 723-nucleotide ribosomal RNA is filed under the name uncultured bacterium. RNAcentral describes it as "bacterial SSU rRNA". It matches the Rfam family "Bacterial small subunit ribosomal RNA", at positions 141 to 850 of the family's 1533-position model. The record is from RNAcentral.
GGAUAACACUUGGAAACAGGUGCUAAUACCGUAUAACACUAUUUUCCGCAUGGAAGAAAGUUGAAAGGCGCUUUUGCGUCACUGAUGGAUGGACCCGCGGUGCAUUAGCUAGUUGGUGAGGUAACGGCUCACCAAGGCCACGAUGCAUAGCCGACCUGAGAGGGUGAUCGGCCACACUGGGACUGAGACACGGCCCAGACUCCUACGGGAGGCAGCAGUAGGGAAUCUUCGGCAAUGGACGAAAGUCUGACCGAGCAACGCCGCGUGAGUGAAGAAGGUUUUCGGAUCGUAAAACUCUGUUGUUAGAGAAGAACAAGGAUGAGAGUAAAAUGUUCAUCCCUUGACGGUAUCUAACCAGAAAGCCACGGCUAACUACGUGCCAGCAGCCGCGGUAAUACGUAGGUGGCAAGCGUUGUCCGGAUUUAUUGGGCGUAAAGCGAGCGCAGGCGGUUUCUUAAGUCUGAUGUGAAAGCCCCCGGCUCAACCGGGGAGGGUCAUUGGAAACUGGGAGACUUGAGUGCAGAAGAGGAGAGUGGAAUUCCAUGUGUAGCGGUGAAAUGCGUAGAUAUAUGGAGGAACACCAGUGGCGAAGGCGGCUCUCUGGUCUGUAACUGACGCUGAGGCUCGAAAGCGUGGGGAGCGAACAGGAUUAGAUACCCUGGUAGUCCACGCCGUAAACGAUGAGUAUAGAGUGUUGGAGGGUUUCCGCCCUUCAGUGCUGCA